UGUCAUACGAAUUUAAUAUACAAUAGAAAAUGGCACGUUCGGUUGCUGAUGAAGAUCGUGAACUCAUUGCUUUCGUCAAGUCCCGGAUUCCGGGAAUGUUUUAUGUAAAUACUGAAUACGAAGAAAUGAUGGAAAGAAAAGUACGCGAAAUCCACAAUGAAUUAAGAAGAAAUAAACUCGAUACUGCAGCAAUCUUUGAUAAAAA
Megalopta genalis is the source of this 205-nucleotide non-coding RNA. NCBI's taxonomy places the organism in Eukaryota, Metazoa, Arthropoda, Insecta, Hymenoptera, Halictidae. The record is from RefSeq and is a predicted model, not a curated record.